This 1256-nucleotide ribosomal RNA is filed under the name metagenome. RNAcentral's name for it is "bacterial SSU rRNA". It matches the Rfam family "Bacterial small subunit ribosomal RNA", at positions 246 to 1498 of the family's 1533-position model. The record is from RNAcentral.
GAUUUGGUGGGGUAAAGGCCUACCAAGGCGACGAUCAGUAGCGGGUCUGAGAGGAUGAUCCGUCACACUGGAACUGAGACACGGUCCAGACUCCUACGGGAGGCAGCAGUGGGGAAUUUUGGACAAUGGGGGCAACCCUGAUCCAGCCAUUCCGCGUGAGUGAAGAAGGCCUUCGGGUUGUAAAGCUCUUUCAGCCGGAACGAAACGGUAUUCCUUAAUACGGGAUGCUAAUGACGGUACCGGCAGAAGAAGCACCGGCUAACUACGUGCCAGCAGCCGCGGUAAUACGUAGGGUGCGAGCGUUAAUCGGAAUUACUGGGCGUAAAGCGUGCGCAGGCGGAUUGUUAAGCAAGAUGUGAAAUCCCCGGGCUUAACCUGGGAAUGGCAUUUUGAACUGGCAGUCUAGAGUGUGUCAGAGGGGGGUGGAAUUCCACGUGUAGCAGUGAAAUGCGUAGAUAUGUGGAGGAACACCAAUGGCGAAGGCAGCCCCCUGGGAUAACACUGACGCUCAUGUACGAAAGCGUGGGUAGCAAGCAGGAUUAGAUACCCUGGUAGUCCACGCCCUAAACGAUGUCAACUGGUUGUUGGGGGAGUGAAAUCCCUUAGUAACGAAGCUAACGCGUGAAGUUGACCGCCUGGGGAGUACGGUCGCAAGAUUAAAACUCAAAGGAAUUGACGGGGACCCGCACAAGCGGUGGAUGAUGUGGAUUAAUUCGAUGCAACGCGAAAAACCUUACCUACCCUUGACAUGUCCAGAAUCCUGCAGAGAUGCGGGAGUGCCCGAAAGGGAAUUGGAACACAGGUGCUGCAUGGCUGUCGUCAGCUCGUGUCGUGAGAUGUUGGGUUAAGUCCCGCAACGAGCGCAACCCUUAUCAUUAGUUGCUACGCAAGGGCACUCUAAUGAGACUGCCGGUGACAAACCGGAGGAAGGUGGGGAUGACGUCAAGUCCUCAUGGCCCUUAUGGGUAGGGCUUCACACGUCAUACAAUGGUCGGUACAGAGGGUUGCCAAGCCGCGAGGUGGAGCCAAUCCCAGAAAGCCGAUCGUAGUCCGGAUUGUUCUCUGCAACUCGAGAGCAUGAAGUCGGAAUCGCUAGUAAUCGCGGAUCAGAAUGUCGCGGUGAAUACGUUCCCGGGUCUUGUACACACCGCCCGUCACACCAUGGGAGUGGAAUCUGCCAGAAGUAGGUAGCCUAACCGCAAGGAGGGCGCUUACCACGGUGGGUUUCAUGACUGGGGUGAAGUCGUAACAAGGUA